RNAcentral lists this ribosomal RNA (397 nucleotides) under uncultured bacterium. Its description in RNAcentral is "partial 16S ribosomal RNA". It matches the Rfam family "Bacterial small subunit ribosomal RNA", at positions 523 to 918 of the family's 1533-position model. The record is from RNAcentral.
CUACGUAGGGGGCGAGCGUUGUCCGGAAUGAUUGGGCGUAAAGGGCGCGUAGGCGGCCCGGUAAGUCUGGAGUGAAAGUCCUGUUUUUAAGAUGGGAAUUGCUUUGGAUACUGUCGGGCUUGAGUGCAGGAGAGGUAAGUGGAAUUCCCAGUGUAGCGGUGAAAUGCGUAGAGAUUGGGAGGAACACCAGUGGCGAAGGCGACUUACUGGACUGUAACUGACGCUGAGGCGCGAAAGUGUGGGGAGCAAACAGGAUUAGAUGCCCUGGUAGUCCACACUGUAAACGAUGAAUACUAGGUGUAGGGGGUAUCGACUCCCUCUGUGCCGCAGUUAACACAAUAAGUAUUCCGCCUGGGGAGUACGGCCGCAAGGUUGAAACUCAAAGGAAUUGACGGGG